AUGAAUUGUGCAAAAAUUGUUUGGGCAUUUAGCUUGAAAAAGGAGUUAAAAUACAUGAUGCACAGAUUUCCUAAUUUUUCCAGCAAAACAUCAUAUAGGAUGGUUUUGUUCAAACUUAUGGUUUUGUGUAGGUAUCAUUGUUGAACACUGAUGCAGAAGUUUCUGUUAUGGAAAGUAUAAGAAUUCUAAGAACAACUCUAGUUGAACAUAAAAAAACAUAUUCUAAGC
RNAcentral lists this long non-coding RNA (228 nucleotides) under Medicago truncatula (barrel medic). RNAcentral's name for it is "long non-coding RNA (MTRU_LNC002406)". Lineage: Eukaryota; Viridiplantae; Streptophyta; Magnoliopsida; Fabales; Fabaceae. The record is from RNAcentral.